This 299-nucleotide long non-coding RNA is filed under the name Oryza brachyantha (malo sina). RNAcentral's name for it is "long non-coding RNA (OBRA_LNC001591)". The record is from RNAcentral. Lineage: Eukaryota; Viridiplantae; Streptophyta; Magnoliopsida; Poales; Poaceae.
ACCCACGUCAACUUCACCACAUCCACGAUCAUCCACCGCGAGGAAGUCGAUCUCUGCCGCGAGGACAUGCCGAUCUUCUACCGCGAGGAAGUCGAUCUCUACCGCGAGGAAAUCGAUGUCUACCGCGAGGACAUGUUUUCCUUCGUCGGGAUGGUCAUGGAGGUGGAUUCGACGACGACUUCUGCGAGGAACCGUCACGAUCCCACGUCUUGCUCCCUCGCGAAGGUCAACGCAACGGUGUCUUCGACGACGACGUCCCGCGAGCGCCUUCGUCAACGUCGUCCUUCCGCGACUACGUC